CUCCCUUUCAAACCACUACGAUGCAACAUCAUCUCUCUCACUUUGGUCCAUCCUCUGUACAGAAGAUUCAUGGGAUAUUUUUAUGUUCCUCCCAUGCUCUCAUUUUCAGUUUUGUCCAGCCACACGUGCACAGGGCUGUAGCUGGUUGGCUGUGCAGGUAUUUUGUUCUACAUCUUGCCUCGUGACCAUUUGUGGUCCAUCUGCUUUAGCUCUUUUCCCUUGUUAAAUGCCAAGUUCCUGUUUCUUGCUUCUUCUGACAAAGCAAAGCAAAACCCAAUAUUUCUGAUGUGGCUUCCUUAACAAUACAUAAUAGAGGCACAGAGAAUAAAUUAACAUUCUGUAAGAAAUUAAGAUUUUUACAGUUAACCAAGGCUGAACGUGAGGAGUGGAUUGUAUGAUGCGACUUACUUAAUUUUGGCUUGCUUCUUUUAUGAAUUUAGCCUUUGGAUUAUAAACCGUGAUUUAUGGUUUGGCACAAGAGUAAGAAACUGGUGGCCAGGAAUCAUAUUUAACAUUUGGGGGGAAAGCUGAGAGCUGCAAUAAGCAGAUUGAUAAUACUCAGGGAAUACUUGAUGGAUGAAGACAUGAUUUCCCAUUUUUCCUGAUUUUAGGGGAGUUGGGGGUAUUAUUUUUAACAAAAGAUUAGGAAAAAUUAAGGCUACUUUAUAAAAUUUACACUGUAAUGUUUAUGUAUUCCCUACCUUAAAAUAGAUAGCAUGCUCCCAUUCUGGGAUCUCAGUAGGGAGGCUCAGGAGAAUACAUAGAUUUCCUACCAAUGAUUUUACAUACUAUGCAGACUCAGCCAGUUCUGCUUCAUCCGGUGGCUAUGUUAACCUGUAAACCCAGUUUAAAAUGCAAAAUCUCCAGCGAACAAAUUUAAGACUAUAGCAUUGCCCAUAUUGCAUGAGCUCUGAGAAAAUUUGGGGAGGGAGUGCUCACUUGGCCUUGGCAAGAUGUUCUGAACUAAAAUAACACUGUCAGAACCGCUUGUUGUAGGAAGAGGCUUCUGACACACAUUCUCAGCAGUCUGGUUGCUGUUGUUUCUAUAGCAGGGAUCAUUGUCACCCUGGGUCCAAUAUCAUUUUAUAUCUGCCUAGUCUGCUAGUUUCUAUGCAUUUGUAAGAAUUCUGCUUAUAUGUAAGUAUAAAUGUUUUCCCUGGUAAGCUGGAUGAUGGCUCUUUAGACUUAAUACAUGGAGGUACGAUAUUGGGUAAUGUGCACUAAAUCACAUGUAGGAGUUGCGACACAGUAAACCCAGCCUGUGUGUGUUCUACAUUGUAAACUUUGAGUAUUCAUAUCUUAUGUCCUAAAUGUAACAAGACUGAUCACAUUUAACAAUCCAAGGCAAAUAAAUAAUGCUUAAAUUCUACUUUUUCUUUCUUUUUAAAGUUGUCUAAAUGCUAUGACUAGAUAACAGGUAGUGGUACCUGUGAGCUUGAUGAGAAAAUGAGUUUUUUGUUUAAUAAGUGAAAUGCAUGUAAAAAAAAAGUGGAAGUAGAAAGCAAAAAUAAAAACUUAUUCUAUGAUUUUUUUGUCUCUCAAAAGGGGAAUAGGAAAUCAUCACCCAAGUUCAGGGAGAUGUCCACAGUUUGCAGAACUGAUAUUUCCAUGUGAAUAGUGGGGAUUCAAGAUUAAUGUUGUAAAUGCUUAUAUACAAAUCCUAGUGGAACUGUUGGCUACAAAUGUCCUCUUGAAAUUUUAAUAUACAUAUCCUUGUACUCACUGCAGUUGGCUAAAUCUGAGCUUCAGCAAGCCACAGCUAAGGGACAGAGCCCUGAAGCUGAAUUGGAAUGUAAGAUGUGAUGCAGCUGUUAGGGAUAUAAAUACUGAUACAAGUGAUUCAGCAAGAUCUUCUUGACUCUCCUGCAGAUCAACAUUCCAUCAGCAAGGUUUCAGAAGGAGUGUUUACCGACUCAAGGGACAUCCAAGGUCAUUGAACCAUAGGCCAAUCUGAGACAUCUGAGUCUUGAUAUUAAACCUAGAAGGAGAAUAUAUUUCAUCUCUAUCUAAAUGGGAAAGGAAUGUGCAAAAUAGGAAGAUGCAAAUGUUAAUGACACCUUAAGAAAAAGUAGAGUGGAACACAGAAACUAGAAAUAAAUGAAUCUGUGCUUUACUUUCUUAGCAGUAGAUCUCCCUUUUCAUCUUAUGUUAAUGAUCAAGACAAGCAGCCUUAUCAUGAGAAAAGUGUACCAGGAAUGAAUUUAAGGAAUGGAUUAUUCAAGCAUCUUACAGAACUGUGAGACAGAACAUGAAUAUGUCUGGAAAUGUAAAUGAAAAGAAAAAUUGAAAGGGGGGGGGGAAAUCAGCCAUUGAGUAUACGGCUUUUUUUCCCCCCGAGUUUCUCUAGCUUGAAAUCAUACACCGCCUAGGGUGAUUUUAAUCCAAGGAAGUCAGCUACCUCUUCCUCCACUACAUUUUAAAACUAAUUGUGCAAACACCAAGGCAACUCCUCUCCCUUCUCACUGUCUUACGACAUUUUGGAUAACCUCAAAGGUAAUUGUUUAAUCGUGCGCUUAGAAAUUUCCAGGGUAUAACAGUAUCUUCCUAUUCUUACUCAGCAACCUUACAGUACACUGUUCAUUUAGCCUUUUGUCACCCCAUUCCCUUUUAAUGGAAUUAUGCAUACUGAAUUUUAUUUUGCGUUUAAUCUGUGGAUGUAGUGAUUAAAUGGACAAGGGGAGGAGAGUUUAUUACAGUUCAGAGCAGGAGCAGGUAGGAAAUUAAAUGGUGAUAACUCUACUUGCUUUUGCAGUAAUGAUCUGUCAAAUGUCUGAAAUUCCAUUUUGAUGCACAAAUUUAUAACUUUAUAUAAAUUAUACUUUAUA
Candoia aspera is the source of this 2825-nucleotide long non-coding RNA. RefSeq lists it as uncharacterized. Lineage: Eukaryota; Metazoa; Chordata; Lepidosauria; Squamata; Candoiidae. The record is from RefSeq and is a predicted model, not a curated record. The transcript has 2 exons.